Mustela erminea (ermine) is the source of this 10572-nucleotide long non-coding RNA. RefSeq lists it as uncharacterized. The record is from RefSeq and is a predicted model, not a curated record. The transcript is spliced from 2 exons. NCBI's taxonomy places the organism in Eukaryota, Metazoa, Chordata, Mammalia, Carnivora, Mustelidae.
UUUUCUUUUUCUUUUCUUUCUCUUUCUUUCUUUCUUUUUUUUUUCAACAGCUAUUAGGGUGACAAGCCUUUCCAAAGGCCAGCCGUUGGCGAGAGUUUCCAGGAAGCUGGUCUGGCACCAGGCUAGGAUUGGAGCAACUUUAACGAGUUAACUUCAGAAGGAAGGAAUUGUCAGGGAAGGUUUAAGGCUCAGCAAACUUUUUGAAUUAUUUUGCAAAAAAGUCCUGGCUUUCAAAUUCAAAGCCGUGUUUAGCCGUGACUGUGGGAAGCCAGAGCUUAUUUCAAAAGACGCUGCUGCUGGCACAUUACUGAGCCCUCCCCUCCAGGUAUCUGCCUUGACUCCCCAGGCCAGGCCCUGCGAGGGCCAUCUGGUGCCUGGAAACACGGGGGUCACCUUCCACGUCCCCCCAGCACCCCUCCGCCCACGUGCCUCUCCCGCCUCCGGCCCCCGGGGCUGUGUGCACACACGCACACACGCGCACACCUUCCCCAAGCAGGAAGCCGCCCUCUGCCAAGAGCGCAUGGAAUUCAGAUUUCCAGAGAGUGUCCUUGGCCUCCAGCUCCACAGCCACACACUGAAGAAAGGUCCUAGUGUGUGUGGCGGGGGCGAGAGAGAGGGGCCUCCAUCUCUGCUCCCGUCUCUCUGGGCCCCAAGAAAAACCCACAACUGGCUGCGCUCGCCUCAGCCGCACCCGGCUCAGUCGCAUUCCUUCCCUUCCUGAGCCCACGCUGGGUGGCCCCACAGCCCCGCUUCGACGCCUCCCUCCCCACCCGCGGGGAGACCGGGGCCAGGCCCGCGUGGGGCAGCUGGCAAGCACACGUGAGGGGGCCGCACCCCAGGCCCACGGUGGCCGGAAACCACCGAGGGGCCCAAGGGGCUGGGCAUCCCAGCCGUGGCCUCCGCCAGCUGCGGCGGGAGCAGAGAGAGCGCGGCCCCCGGCAGCCCACCCCAGGCCGAGCGCCUCUCCAUAUCCCACCUGCAGACGAUCCCCACACCCCCGGAGGGAGCACUGCCCCCUGCACCCGUGCCCCCCACCCCCAUCCACGCCGGGCCGUCUGGGCCCUGAGAUCUGGCAUCCGGGGGAGUUAAACAUUGACAGGCAGAGACCGACAGCGGCCCAGUAAAUGAGACAAGUCCAUGAUCAGCCACACACGGUGGACAGGCUGGUCACGCUUAGCUUCUCUUUGACCCCAGUCACUGGGACCUUGCCACCUGCAUGGCCGGGGAGCAGCAGGUGGGAAGCGCGAGCCUCCCGCAGGCCAUCGGAGUCACGGAGGCCCGUGCGCAGCAGGAGUUACGGCUCCUCCUGUGCUCGGCACUCAGGGCGGCCUGGCCCAGAAAGGGGGGUUGCUCCGGGGCCUGGCCGGUCUCCCUGGGGAGGAGCCUGUGGCUUUGCCGCCCAGGCCUCUGGGCCUGCAGCCCCGGGGACAAGCACCGGCUGGUGGCCACCCCACCCUGUUCCUGCCGGCUGGGGUCUCCUGUCGUGGCCGGAGAGGCCGAUUUCCCUGUCCCUUCUGGACAGCUUGGACCUCAUUGCUCGGUGUUCGUGUGAUGCCUCAACUCCACCGGCCUCUCCUUCCGAGUGUGGCCCACAGUGGACUGAACUGGGGGGGGGAUGCUCUUCCUGUGUCCCUUGGUGGGGGGCCUGGUGUGAUAGAAACAGCAGGGUAAGGAGCAGGCCACAGCCAUGACCAAGGCCUCAAGGACAUGCUCCUGCUGCUGUCCUAAUAGCCAGGGGCCUGGGGCUGGUGCAGGCUGCAGUACAGGUCCCACUAGGACAGAUGGCCCCCACUGGAACCAAAGGAGCAUGGGACUUGGAGUCAGGAGUCCCAUGGCCUGGUCCCAGCUGUCCGCACCUGGCAUGGCUUCUGGGCAGGGUCCCCUCAUCUCUGCUGUCGGCCCCAUGUCCCAGGCUGUCCAUCUCCCAACAGCCACAGAAGAGUUUCCCCACCCCACCCACCAGCCCCCGGCCCGACGCAGCCCACUUCCAGCACAAGACAGGGGUAGAUGGUAGAGAGCUGCCGUGGGCUGUGGGGGUCCCCGGGGAGGACACUCCAGUGAUGUCCUCUGAACCCGGUGGAUGGCCCCACCCCAGUCCCUACACACACACCAGCCAGAGUUCGGUCACGCCGGGAGCCCGUUUUCAGGGGUGUCCCUCCACCUGCGGCUGCCCCCACCUUGGAGUCUGGGCCCCUGUUCUUGCUGUGGUCUUGCCCCGCAGUCAGGGCCCCGUGAGCCCCCACCUGGAGCCCACCGGCUCGGCUGGGGGUUCCAUGGGGUAGCUCAAGAAAAGAAAAAAAAACAUUCUAGUGUUUUAAACUGGAAAAGGUUCCAUUCGCUCCAACAGAUUCCGAAGCUGAGGCCGGCGCAAACGCAAGACCGCCGCCGGCAGGCCCGCAAGAAGGGAAGGGAGGAGAACCGCCCCUGGGCCGCCGGACACGGGGGACGAGACGACACAGGGCCCCACAGCAGCCUGGGCAGGGCCGGGCGGACAAGCAGGUUAAAAGGCUCGAAGCUAAAGGUCCAGCGUGACCUUACCUUGCACUUUAUCCCCGAGAUACGGAGCCUGGCUACCGGAGCAGUGGCGGGGGGCCUGGGGUCGGCGGCUGGGAGCUGCCUGCCUCCUGUCCAGGGGCUGGGCUCUGUGGGCAGCGGGUCCACAGCCAGGGCUGUGGGGGUGGGCCCUGAGCUCGCUCUCGUGGAACAGCCUCACCCCCCGCAUCUUUCCCAUGUCCUCUCCUGCCUGUGACGUAACCCCAACCCCUGCCUCAGUUUCCCCAGCAGGGCCCCGCAGGACAGCGUUGUGGCGCGUGUUAGACUUUGGAAGGCACAGCCUAGUCUGAUCUUACGUGAUGGUUCGGUUCCAAAGACCAAUCAGGUAGAGUCAAAAUGACCUUUGAAGAUCCCUUGAAUUGCCUCUUAAAAAUCGCUUCCCGGAGCUGUGCAACAUCCCCGCAGAGCUCCGAGUGGCCUGCGCCCACUGAGGCGGAGCAGCUCUGGGCAAAUCCGGAGGGCGUCCCAGCUCCAGGCCAGCCUGCUCCCCAGUGUCUUUCGAGGGACUGCCUCUGGGGCUGCUGGGGUGGGCAAAGCAGACGUGGGCCCAGGGGAAGGGCGUUGGGGCGCCAGGGACGCUGGGGACGCCAGGCUCUGAGGCCGGACUCUGUGUCCCUCUCCCUUUGCCUCCCUUUCUGCCCUUCCCAGAUAGUGCCCCAGGCCUCGCGUGAGCCGACCGGACCCGAAAUGGCGGAACUGUCAGACCUCUGCCCAGGAGACAGUCCUUGCCAAGGACCAGCAACUGGGGUGGCCUGUGCCCAGGACACCCACCCAGUCCCAAGAGGCCUGGCCCACGUAAAGGACGACCGCCUGGCCGGGGGCUCUGGGCCACCCCCAGAAGCCGGAAGCUCGGCCCGCCGCCCUGUGUCUCACGCAUGCAAGUCGGCCUCACCCAGGAGACCCGGGAGCCCCCGAGCGGCCUGCGGGUCGAUGAGGCCCCCCACCCUCCAUGCACCAUGGGGUCAGGUCCCCGGUGUGUGCAGAGUCCAGCGGGCAGACUUCCUGGAGGAAGCGGCCACAGAGAGACUCCAACCAAAGCGCAUAAUCUCCGUCCACAAGCUGCUCUCUCCAGCCGAUGGGCCGCAGAAACACUUGGGAGGCGAAGACCCAAGCCAGAUGCCAGGCCCCUCGGCCUCCACUGGCUGGUGACCUCCCUGCCCCUGCAUGCCCUCCGGGAGGCCUGGCUUCCCCCUCACAGCCCCGGGCUCCCCAGGAGAACGUGCGUCUGCGACAGAGCCCCGGCUCGGCCUCUGCCUCUUGGGACAAGGCGAGGCUCGGCCCUCCCGUGCAGUGCUCUCUGACCCGCCGUGACAGCUGUGGGUCCCAGCCAACGGCAGCCCCCCACCAAGUGUGACACAGACACGUAGCCUCUGGGGACAGGAGUGCCCGGUGGCCAGCAAGCCUGGGAACACGGCCGUCCUGGCUGGGCUGCCUGGGGAGCGGCCCCGGAGAAUGGGGCCACGGCCAUGCCUCCAUGUCCUUGUUCGCACGGGGCCACGGGCAGGCAGGAUGCCCGGCCCACACCGCCCCUCACUCUGCUGGCGGCUGUGGCUGCCUUGGCGGGUAGGCCCGACGGUAAACGGUGAGAAUGAUGGCAGAAGCACAUCGGAGCACGUGUGGCCACCCCAGAGAGCGGGACGGAAGCCCAGGUCUCUCCCUGUACCUCCCUGGGAGCUGGCCCCUUCCGUCACCACUGGAGGCUGUGGGCAGUCCCCGACUGCGGCCUGCGUUGGGGACAGGAACUCAAGGCUGCACAUGGACCCCAUCCACAUCCCACGGAGACCUGCGACCUGGCGCUUUCAGAAGCUCUCAGUGAAGUACAGGGUCCCCCCAAGUGAGGUAUUGCAUUGGCUAACGCAGUUCUCGGAUCCGGGCCGGGCCAGACCCCCGACCCCACAGCCUCCACGGCUCACACCUGCACCAUGAGGCCCAUCUCCAGGGUCCACAAGAGGACGCCGAGGCUCGGAGAGGUGACUUGACUGCCGCAGUGCCUUCCAGGCCAAACGGAUACACGCUGGCCGGGGUUUCCGGGAAGACAGCGUCUCUGGGCGUGGCGAACACCUGAGCACCAGCCAGUGGGACGUAAGGGUCAGAUUGGCCGCGUGUGACCACAGUGCCAAAGCCUGCGGGACACGUUAGAGAUUCUGUUGUGAGAGAAGCGAGCGCUCAUGUAGAAGGCACAACAAGGCCAAGAUUCACGAAGGCCGGCCUCCUCCAAGGUCCUCCGGGCCAGCUGCCCAGGGGAGUCGGAGCUCACCGCCCCUGCUCAUCGGAACUGCUGACACCAGGUAAGACUCUUUUCACACACACGUGACUUCCCUGCGCCUCUCACGCUGUGCCGUGCUGCUCUCCUUCCUACCGGUGAGUGUGUGCGCGCUGGUGUCUGGGCAGCUGGGCUGUGCCCCUGGUUUACACCAGCCUCAGCUCAUGCAGCCCCUUGUGCUAGGUGGAUGCUGGGCCCUGCUAGCUUGAAGCUACUGCUUUGAGCAAUGGCACAGCCCCCAUUUGUAGGAGCACCGGACGCUGGCGCGGGUGAGGGCGGCUUCCCAGGUAGUUGUAAGCAUUUUCCCAAGAAGCUGUAGUGAUUGAGACAGCGGCAGCACCGCGACUGUGACAGCUUGCCCACAUCCACGCCCAAGCCAGCCCUUGGCGCCCUUCCCAGGGCCUGCCGGGCAUGGUGGAGGACGAGGAAGCUGUUUUUCCUUUAAGCUGAAGAAGGUUUGUGGCUCUCCGAGGCUGUCUGGACUCCCUGUCGCAGAACUGAAUUGCCUGUUCGUAUCUUUUGCUCAUUUUUGCUUCUCAGCUUGUAGGACUUGUUUACUGAUGAAAGACACUAACCUUUUGUCACGUAAGGUACAGAAGUCUUCCCCAGGCUAGUAGCCUUUGCGUAUGGUUGUUUUUAUCAUAGGAAAUGUUUUAUCCGUCUAAAGUGAUACACCUAUCUUUUGCUUUAUGUAAAAGAAAGAUUUUCCCAGUGCAAAGGAACACAACCAUCUCCUAAAUUUACUUGUGAUAGAAAUGUAUGGAUGUCGUCUAUGUGAAUUUUAAUACGUUUACCAUUUAUGCCUAACAUCCUGGGUGUUCACCAACAAUCUGAAAGCGUAAAAGUACCGUCUAUAACCUUUUUUAAAGUUUAUUUUUGUUUUUGUUUUUUAUUAUAUCAUAUACAAUCUUGAGAAAUGAACGUAAAACAUAAAAUAUAACAUCUCUUGAGGAAGACACAGAAGUCUAUCUCUGGUCCUUGGGUUUGGCAGUGAGUUUUGAAGUACAACACUGUGAGCUCAGUCAGUAGACAAAGAAGUUGACAAGUUGGACUUUAUCAAAUUACAGGUAUUUGCUCUGCAAAAGGCUCACUGCUGAGGGAACCAGACAUAAGCUCUGGACUUGAAGAAGCUGUUUCCACGUCUCCUAUUUGCCCAAGGACUUGUGUCUAGAAUCUAUAAAGAACCCUGGCAACAUGACAGCAGGAAAGCCACCAACCCAGUUUAAGAAAUGGAUUACAAGUCCACGGGAAAAGAUGUUCCGAGUAACACAGCCAUGCUGGGAAAGAGCUCGGCAUUGUCUUCUGAGGUUCAGUGUGCACUGGCCAUGCAACCUGGCAGUCCUUCUCCCCGAUACUAACCCAAGGACAUCGAAUAUGUACACUCAACAAACCUGUACACGAACGCACACAGCCACUUUACUCAAAAUCGCCCAAACCUGGCAACAGCCAAGAUGUCCCUCCGCAGGUGAGUGGGUAAACAAGCAGUUUUAUAGCCACACAGUGGAGCGCUGCCCGGCAACCAGAAGCCGUUAGCCGACAGCUCGUGCGGCGACGUGGCUGACCCUCACAUGCGUUUCGCGAGGCCGUGAAAGAAGCCAGAUGUACGGGCUCCGUGUUCUGUGAUCCCAUUUCUAUGACAUUCUGGAAAAGGCAGAGCUACCAGGACAUAAAACAGAUCAAUGGUUGCUCGUGCUUGCGGGAGGGGGCAUGUCUGACUUCCCAGGGCUUGCACCAGGGAGUUCCUAGGGCUGCGGAACUUCUCUCUGUGUUGCUCUGAUGGUGGAUACGUGAAUCCAGGCAUCGUCAAAACCCACAGAACCAUCUCCCAAGAGUGAAUUUUGCUGUAUGCAAACCAAAGAAGAGAAAACAUCAGCCAGCCAGCCGCAGGACCCUAGGAAUGGAAGCGUCCUGGGACAAGUGAAUUCGUGUGACGAAUGCGUGACACGGCACCACGGAGCACGGAAAGGACGGGAAGUCGGCGGUCCCUGGGCUCGGGAAGCCGUCUCAGACUGUCCUGAACACGGGGCUCUAGUCGGUAAUCUUACUUCGCAUAGGGAAACUGUGGGUCAAACAAGUAAGUACAUAAAUUAUCGAUAACGGGAACCUGGUUUCUCACUCUCUGAGAGAUGCAGUAGCAAAAAGUGUGUCAUGCUGGGGGACACAAAUGGCCCCCGCGGCUGCGAUUUCAGUAUGAACCCGUGUUGCUCUUCCUGUAGGCACAGCUAUAAAUGCAGACACGUGCGUGUCCUUGGCUUAUGGACGUACGCACACUUCCUUGCUCUGUCCGUGGAGAGGCCCCAGAAGCCAUAAAGACCCGAGAGCCACGAGCGACCCCAGGGCCAGAUCCUGGUCUCUAAACACCACCCCCUUUCCGGUUGGAGGAACCAGUGCUCUCUGGCUGAGGACGAGUCUGGGGCCACGGCAGGGCGACGGACGAGGAGCCUGGCGUUACCGUGAGGGGCUCGGAAGGAAGCGAAAGCUCCGAGUGGGUGGGGGCGUGUUGAGCAGGCGCAGGAGCCCAAAGGACCCUCGAUCCUGGGGUCGAAGCCAGAGCAGUUUGAACCACAAGACAAAUAACAAUUAGUAUCAAAUUGUAGCUCAAAACCCAAGAAUCCCUGAGUUCGUCCUGAUAGAAACAAGCAGAUAACCGGAAGAGGUACAGAUCCUAACUUCCACGGAGAAAUGCUCAAAUCGGUUGGUGGGACUGGCAGCCGACAGGCAGAGUAUCUCCCCGCAGGUGUCCCUUCGUGGCUGGGGGGUCCUAACGCUGACUUGUUCCCUCCCAGUCGCAGAAGGUGGCACGCCAGGCGCCCCCCUCGAGGACAGCAGACUCAGUGACCCGCUCCCCACGAGGCCAAGGAAAGGGGGAGGAGCCAUCUGACACGACCCCGGGGGUCAAGGUUAGCAGCACCAGUGAAUCACGUUGCUGUCGUGAACCCCGACGAGAUGCGAAGCGCCUCACGUCAGCUCCCGGCACACCCAUUAGCCCAGUCUCCCCCGAAGUCCCAGAGGAGCCCGACAGCGGGACGCGGACUCCCGGCCAGCAUUCCUCACCAAUGCCAAGGUCACAAAAACCGAGCAAAGACCGAGGAGGAGGCGUCACAACUCAGAAAAGGCCUGAAGACGCGCUGGAUGGAAACGUACCACAACUGGUGGACCAAAGGACUCAGCUACUGCUGAGCCCGGCAAACGAACUAAGCUUUAGCUCAAUACAAGCGUUGCCGCGACAGUGACUUCUUUUAGCAAUUUCACCACGGUUGUACCACACUCGCGUGAGGCGCCGGCGUUAGGGGAAGCUGGUAAAUAGUACACAGGGGCCCCUGUAUUAUUUUGCCUCUCCUGUAAGUCAAAAAAAGCAAAAGCAAAAAAAAAAAAAAAAAGACAAAACAUAAAAAAACAAAAAAUCCAACAACAGCCCCACAGCAACCCCAAAUCAAAACGAGCAGACAGAUCCUGUCUACGACAGUAGAGUACACUCUUCAGUAUCAGAUCGGGACGUACAAGAACCCUAAGGAGAGAUGGUUAGGCCUCGGUGGCAGCCGUUCAAGAAGACGUAACCUAACCAAGGGGGAGACAGAUUUUGCUCCACUUUCUAGAAGACUCAACAGACAAAAGACUCUCCCCCUCGAGCCGUAAUAGAAACCCUGCCGUUGGCGUGCGGGCAUCUGGCUCCUGACUCUAGACCUGAUCUGGAAAUGCCAUCAACCGAGAACCGGCCAUAUUCUCGAAGAGCGGGGAGCUCAGAGCUCUGCUCUACCAGGUGCCCACACCUCGUGCGACGCCAUGCCCCAGGAGACGGCGCCGCCGACAGAGAGACGUGGCGGGCCGGCAGGACAGGGCGACACAUCGGAAAGAGCCUGCACGCACAGGGAUGCUCGCCACGCACCUGCGGUGGCCGGCACAGGGUGGGAGAGGGUGACCAGGGACAAGUGGCUGUCCAUGUGGGAGACACGUUCCAUUGGACCCUCGUGCCGGACACCAAGAACUCAUCAUCUGCAUUCCCGGGGGGUUGAAGACUUACAGAGAACAGCAAAACUCUGAAGCUUUUAGAACUGAUUCUAGAACUGCCUCCAUGACCUCAGUGUUUGGAAGGGUUUCCUCAAACUUAAACAAUAUCCGGACGGGGAAAGGCUGAUGUAUGCGACCGCACUCGAGAUCCCGAGCUCGUCAGCAAACACGACGGGCAAGGCGGGAAGGGCGACCGCGCGGCGAGUGCGCGGCGAAGAAAGAAGCCCCGCGGGUCCACCGGGAAAACCAGGGGCGCGUGCGGAGCAGCGGAGCGGACCAGACAGCAGCCGAGAAGGACCCCGUGGCCCAAGGACACGCGUGAAGGUGUCGCACCCAACGGGCAGUCAGACACCGUGGGGAGCGCGUGGCCCGUGGGGGAGAGGGGCUGACUUCCAGCAGGAAACCGCACAGACAUGACUUAGUCACACCCGGGAGAAGGGCUCUGAGUGACGGGCUCUCUGCCCGUGACAUUCCCAGAGAGCCCAGGAGAGUGACCGGAAAGCGGGAAGAAGACGAGGACAGUCAACAGCUCCCAGGCCUGGGAGGGGCGAGAGCCCCGGGGCCGAGAUUCCGGUGCCCUGGGUUAUGUUACACAGUUGUCAAGUGACAGAGCUGAAACCCCGUCCAGGAUUCAGAUGUUCUUUCAAAAAAAAAAAAGAAGGAAAGGAGAAAGAACACAAAUACAUAUUUUUAUGUCUGCAUCACUUGUCUACGGGAGGAGAGAAGGGCAGAGCGGGGCCAGGCCAGUGGGGCCAGGCCAGCGGGGCCGCUCUCGGAGCACCCGGGAUGACCAGUGUCCUCUCUGGAGCCCGCUGACGGAGCGGGGCUGGGGGCGGGGGGGCUACCUGACCCCUGAGAAAGGCCCAGCCCUGGUGUUUUAGGAAAUUAAACUGCACAUCAGUUGCCCGCCCGGAGCGGGUGGGGCCUGCACCUGCCGGAGAGGAACGUGGGCCGUUUGGUUUAAUCCUGGGAACAGCACGAGGGGCCCCGAGGCGAGGGGCAGAGGGCUUCCACAGGUGUGUUUUUCCGAACCAAAGGAACGGGCUGCUCUGCCCGUGUCUGUGUCAGAGACCCAUCCCCCACUGUCGCAGGCCACUGCUGGCCGGGGCGGGCUGGGGGCGGGGGUGCAGCCCACCCCCCUGACUCCUGCCACUGCCACAGCUGCUGGCAGGAGGCACAGGGAGUCUGGGGGAUGGGGCCCCGUGUCCUCGGCAGACACAGCGGCACGCUGCCCCCUUCAGGCACGGGCUCGGGGGCAGGUGGCCCCAGGAGAGCGGGCUUGUCACCCCUACCGCCAAGGAGCUUGAGAUGGGACAAGACAAGCAGCACCCCCGGCCCCCCGGCUUCGGAGCAGGCUGGGCCCACGAGCACAGGUACCGCUGCCGGGACAGCUCUUGCUGGAUACACCCCAGGACGAGCCCUCCGUGCCCCAGUGGCCGGGAAGUCACACUUGCGAUAAGACGGCCCCGUGUUCUGAUGCUUUCAUCCCUUGGCUGCCUUGGCCUUGUCACGGCCAGAAGCCGGGCCUCAGUUUUCAGGGCAGAACAAAACGAUUUUGUUUUCUAGGAAAGUGGGCGGUCUGCGAUGGCGAGUGUGGCCUCUGGCGUGGCGGCGGCACAGCUGGCCACUCCGGCUGCCAAGCCUCACCUCCCUCCGGAGCAGAACCGACCAGAACCGACCAGAACCGACCAGCCCAGCAGCGUCCUCCCCAGCCAGCAGCCCUGCUCCAGGGCAAUUUCAAGUUCUUU